ACAAGUUGACAAGAGCAUCGGGUGGAUGCCUUGGCGUCGGAAGGCGAUGAAAGACGUGGUAAGCUGCGAAAAGCCUCGGGGAGAAGCUAAACAUUCUGUGAUCCGGGGAUUUCUGAAUGGGGAAACCCGGCGGAGGUCAUGCUCCGUCGCGGGCACUUGAAUACAUAAAGUGUCCAGCGCCAACUCAGGGAAGUGAAACAUCUCAGUACCUGAAGGAAAAGAAAUCAAACGAGACUCCCAAAGUAGCGGCGAGCGAAAUGGGAUGAGCCCAAACCGGCUGGAUUCGUUCAGCCGGGGUUGUAGGGCCGGCAUAUGUGAUUCAUGAGUAGGCAGGGGAAAUGAGCUGGAAAGCUCUGCCAGAGCGGGUGACAGCCCCGUACCUGAAACCGAAAGCGACACAGCCGGUACCUGAGUACCGCGAGACACGUGGAACCUCGUGGGAAUCCGGGAGGACCAUCUUCCAAGGCUAAGUACUAACCGACGACCGAUAGUGUACCAGUACCGUGAGGGAAAGGUGAAAAGAACCUCUGUUAGAGGAGUGAAAUAGAAUCUGAAACCUGGUGCUUACAAGCUGUGAGAGCGGACUUGUUCCGUGAUCACGUGCCUUUUGCAUAAUGAGUCAGCGAGUUAAUCUGUACUGCAAGGUUAAGCGCAAGUGGAGCCGUAGGGAAACCGAGUCUGACAAGGGCGAUGAGUAGUGCGGAUUAGACCCGAAACCGGGUGAUCUAUCCAUGAGCAGGUUGAAGCAAGGGUAAAACCUUGUGGAGGACCGAACCAAUACCGGCUGAAAACGGUUUGGAUGACUUGUGGAUAGGGGUGAAAGGCCAAUCAAACCCGGUGAUAGCUGGUUCUCCCCGAAAUAUAUUGAGGUAUAGCCUCAUGGAUUGUCUACCGGAGGUAAAGCACUGACAGGGCUAGGGGUCCUACCAGAUUACCAAACCCUAUCAAACUCAGAAUGCCGGUCAGAUGUACCAUGGGAGUCAGACGGCGGGUGCUAAGGUCCGUCGUCGAGAGGGUAAGAGCCCAGAUCAACAGCUAAGGUCUCCAAAUCUAUGCUCAGUGGUUAAGGUGGUGACGUUGUAGAGACACCCAGGACGUUGGCUUAGAAGCAGCCAUCGUUUAAAGAAAGCGUAAUAGCUCACUGGUCUAAUGACGUUGCGCCGAAAAUGUAACGGGGCUAAGCAUAGUACCGAAGCUUUGAAUUCCGCGAAUGCGGUCUGGUAGGGGAGCGUUCUUCACGGGCUGAAGGUGUGUCGUAAGGCAUGCUGGACUGUGGAGAAGUGAUUAUGCUGACAUGAGUAACGAUAAAACGGGUGAAAAACCCGUUCGCCGUAAACCCAAGGUUUUCCGGGUAAAGGUAAUCUUCCCGGAGUUAGUCGGCCCCUAAGGCGAGGCUGAAAGGCGUAGCUGAUGGGAAACGUGUUAAUAUUCACGUACUUGUGUGUUCGCGCGAUGAAGGGACGCAGGAAGAUAGGCAAGCCGGGCGCUGGUUGUCCCGGUGCAAGCGUGUAGGGAUGAGAAGUUGGCAAAUCCGCUUCUCUUUAUCCUGAGACGCGAGUCCGUGACCGAAAGGUCUGAAGUUGUUGAGUCUAUGCUGCCUAGAAAAGCUUCUAAGUAUAGGACACGCAAACCGUACCGGAAACCAACUCAGGUGGGUGGGAUGAAUAAUCCAAGGCGCUCGAGAGAACUCUGGCCAAGGAACUCGGCAAAAUAACCCCGUACCUUCGGAAGAAGGGGUGCUUUUUAGGGUGAAGCGAUUCACUCUGUCGAGCCCUGAAAAGCCGCAGAGAAAUGGUGGUGGCGACUGUUUACUAAAAACAUAGGUCUGUGCCAAGUCGUAUAGACGACGUAUACGGACUGACGCCUGCCCGGUGCUGGAAGGUUAAAAGGAGGAGUCAGCGCAAGCGAAGCUCCGAAUUGAAGCCCCAGUAAACGGCGGCCGUAACUAUAACGGUCCUAAGGUAGCGAAAUUCCUUGUCGGGUAAGUUCCGACCUGCACGAAUGGCGUAACGAUCUCCACACUGUCUCGGCCAGAGACUCGGUGAAAUUGAAGUCGCGGUGAAAAUGCCGUGUACCCGCAGAAAGACGGAAAGACCCUGUGCACCUUUACUAUAGCUUGACAUUGGGAUUUGAGCCUGCAUGUGUAGCAUAGGUGGGAGGCUGUGAACUCUGUACGCCAGUAUGGAGGGAGCCAUCGUUGAAAUACCACCCUUGUUUGUUCAGGUCCCUAACUCCUUGCCGUGAUCCGGUAGGAGGACAGUGUCUGGUGGGUAGUUUGACUGGGGCGGUCGCCUCCCAAAAUGUAACGGA
RNAcentral lists this ribosomal RNA (2310 nucleotides) under human gut metagenome. RNAcentral's name for it is "bacterial LSU rRNA". It matches the Rfam family "Bacterial large subunit ribosomal RNA", at positions 1 to 2304 of the family's 2925-position model. The record is from RNAcentral.